This 462-nucleotide ribosomal RNA is filed under the name uncultured Curtobacterium sp. RNAcentral describes it as "bacterial SSU rRNA". It matches the Rfam family "Bacterial small subunit ribosomal RNA", at positions 920 to 1382 of the family's 1533-position model. The record is from RNAcentral. Lineage: Bacteria; Bacillati; Actinomycetota; Actinomycetes; Micrococcales; Microbacteriaceae.
CCCGCGACAAGCGGCGGAGCAUGCGGAUUAAUUCGAUGCAACGCGAAGAACCUUACCAAGGCUUGACAUACACCGGUAACGCCCAGAGAUGGGUGCCCCUUUGUGGUCGGUGUACAGGUGGUGCAUGGUUGUCGUCAGCUCGUGUCGUGAGAUGUUGGGUUAAGUCCCGCAACGAGCGCAACCCUCGUUCUAUGUUGCCAGCGGGUCAUGCCGGGGACUCAUGGGAGACUGCCGGGGUCAACUCGGAGGAAGGUGGGAUGACGUCAAAUCAUCAUGCCCCUUAUGUCUUGGGCUUCACGCAUGCUACAAUGGCCGGUACAAAGGGCUGCGAUACCGCGAGGUGGAGCGAAUCCCAGAAAGCCGGUCUCAGUUCGGAUUGGGGUCUGCAACUCGACCCCAUGAAGUCGGAGUCGCUAGUAAUCGCAGAUCAGCAACGCUGCGGUGAAUACGUUCCCGGGCCUU